GACAGAGGAUGCAAGCGUUAUCCGGAAUGAUUGGGCGUAAAGCGCACGUAGGCGGCCUGAUAAGUCGGUAGUGAAAGCCCUCGGCUUAACCGAGGAAGUGCUAUCGAAACUGCCAGGCUUGAGUACCGGAGAGGAUCGCGGAAUUCCCGGUGUAGAGGUGAAAUUCGUAGAUAUCGGGAGGAACACCAGUGGCGAAGGCGGCGAUCUGGACGGAUACUGACGCUGAGGUGCGAAAGCGUGGGGAGCAAACAGG
Molecule: ribosomal RNA, 253 nt
Filed under: uncultured bacterium
Lineage: Bacteria
Description: partial 16S ribosomal RNA
Rfam family: Bacterial small subunit ribosomal RNA
Source: RNAcentral